RNAcentral lists this signal recognition particle RNA (266 nucleotides) under Anaerobacterium chartisolvens. Its description in RNAcentral is "Bacterial large signal recognition particle RNA". It matches the Rfam family "Bacterial large signal recognition particle RNA". From Rfam's summary of the family: The signal recognition particle (SRP) is a universally conserved ribonucleoprotein involved in the co-translational targeting of proteins to membranes. Archaeal SRP consists of a 7S RNA and homologues of the eukaryotic SRP19 and SRP54 proteins. The record is from Rfam by way of RNAcentral. Lineage: Bacteria; Bacillati; Bacillota; Clostridia; Eubacteriales; Oscillospiraceae.
CCGUGCUAGAUGGGGAGGUAGCGGUGCCCUAUUCCUGCAAUCCGCUGUAGCAGGGUUGAAUUCCUAUUAUAGGCUUUUUCCUGUAGGGUCUGCCCCCUGCAAGUGGCAAUGAAAACCGGGUCUUACGCAAUGAAAACCUGUGAACCCCGUCAGGUUCGGAAGAAAGCAGCGGUAAGCAGACAUUUUCAUGUGCCGUAAGCAUUGCCUGGUUAGAGUUAACUACAAGGGUUACGCUUGUAAGAUUUAAGUCGAAAAUAGGUGCACGG